UCCCCAAUAACUCAGUUGGUAAAGAAUCUGCCUGCAAUGCAGGAGACCCUGGUUUGAUUCCUGGGUUAGGAA
This is a non-coding RNA of Bos taurus (domestic cattle), 72 nucleotides long. The record is from Rfam. Lineage: Eukaryota; Metazoa; Chordata; Mammalia; Artiodactyla; Bovidae.